This 424-nucleotide ribosomal RNA is filed under the name uncultured Subdoligranulum sp. RNAcentral's name for it is "bacterial SSU rRNA". It matches the Rfam family "Bacterial small subunit ribosomal RNA", at positions 355 to 794 of the family's 1533-position model. The record is from RNAcentral. Lineage: Bacteria; Bacillati; Bacillota; Clostridia; Eubacteriales; Oscillospiraceae.
UGGGGAAUAUUGGGGCAAUGGGCGAAAGCCUGACCCAGCGACGCCGCGUGAAGGAAGAAGGUCUUCGGAUUGUAAACUUUAGUCAACAGGGAAGAAAAAUGACGGUACCUGUGGAGGAAGCCACGGCUAACUACGUGCCAGCAGCCGCGGUAAUACGUAGGUGGCGAGCGUUAUCCGGAAUUACUGGGUGUAAAGGGAGCGCAGGCGGACCGGCAAGUUGGAAGUGAAAACCAUGGGCUCAACCCAUGAAUUGCUUUCAAAACUGCUGGCCUUGAGUAGUGCAGAGGUAGGCGGAAUUCCCGGUGUAGCGGUGGAAUGCGUAGAUAUCGGGAGGAACACCAGUGGCGAAGGCGGCCUACUGGGCACCAACUGACGCUGAGGCUCGAAAGUAUGGGUAGCAAACAGGAUUAGAUACCCUGGUAGU